This 386-nucleotide ribosomal RNA is filed under the name uncultured bacterium. RNAcentral describes it as "bacterial SSU rRNA". It matches the Rfam family "Bacterial small subunit ribosomal RNA", at positions 28 to 417 of the family's 1533-position model. The record is from RNAcentral.
GACGAACGCUGGCGGCGUGCUUAACACAUGCAAGUCGAACGGUAAGGCCCCUUCGGGGGUACACGAGUGGCGAACGGGUGAGUAACACGUGAGCAACCUGCCCUUGACUCUGGAAUAACAGUUGGAAACAGCUGCCAAUACCGGUUAUGACCUGUCACCGCAUGGUGGUGGGUGGAAAGUUCCGGCGGUCAGGGAUGGGCUCGCGGCCUAUCAGCUUGUUGGUGAGGUAACGGCUCACCAAGGCUUCGACGGGUAGCCGGCCUGAGAGGGCGACCGGCCACACUGGAACUGAGAUACGGCCCAGACUCCUACGGGAGGCAGCAGUGGGGAUAUUGCACAAUGGGCGAAAGCCUGAUGCAGCAACGCCGCGUGCGGGAUGACGGCCU